RNAcentral lists this ribosomal RNA (792 nucleotides) under Haptophyta environmental samples. RNAcentral's name for it is "eukaryotic LSU rRNA". It matches the Rfam family "Eukaryotic large subunit ribosomal RNA", at positions 133 to 1003 of the family's 3401-position model. The record is from RNAcentral. Lineage: Eukaryota; Haptophyta.
ACGCCCCGAAUUGUGGUCUAGAAAGGCGCCAUCGGCCGUUCGCGUCGCUCAAAUCCCUUGGAACAGGGUAUCGGAGAAGGUGAGAAUCCUGUACCGUGGCGUGGAGCGGCCGCACGAUGCGUCCUUGUCGAGUCGGGUUGCUUGGGAUUGCAGCUUGAAGUGGGUGGUAAAUUCCAUCUAAAGCUAAAUAUUGGCGAGAGACCGAUAGCGAACAAGUACCGUGAGGGAAAGAUGCAAAGAACUUUGAAAAGAGAGUCAAAGAGUGCUUGAAAUUGGUAGGAGGAAACCCGGUUGCGCCCAGCUUCGGCGCGUCGACUCAGCCGCGCCCUUGGGGCGCGGUGCACUUUGACGCGCCGUGUCAGCCGCCGCUCGAUGGGCGCCACACGGCCGGGGGCGAGGCUUCUGCGACCCCCCGGUUUGGCGCGCGCCGGGCGCCGGCUGACGGAAUGGGCGCCACCGACCCGUCUAGAAACACGGACCAAGGAGUCUGACACGUGUGCGAGUACCCGGGUGGCAAGCCCGCGUGCGCAAUGAAAGUGAAGGGCAUGCCCUGCCAACCGACCUUGACCUGCUGUGAGGGGUUUGAGUGGAGCACAUCUGUCGGGACCCGAAAGAUGGUGAACUAUGCCUGAGGAGGGUGAAGCCAGAGGAAACUCUGGUGGAGGCUCGUAGCGAUACUGACGUGCAAAUCGUUCGUCGAACUUGGGUAUAGGGGCGAAAGACUAAUCGAACCAUCUAGUAGCUGGUUCCCUCCGAAGUUUCCCUCAGGAUAGCUUGAACGCAACGGUUUUG